This 468-nucleotide ribosomal RNA is filed under the name uncultured bacterium. Its description in RNAcentral is "partial 16S ribosomal RNA". It matches the Rfam family "Bacterial small subunit ribosomal RNA", at positions 28 to 507 of the family's 1533-position model. The record is from RNAcentral.
GACGAACGCUGGCGGCGUGCUUAACACAUGCAAGUCGAACGGAAAGGCCCUGCUUUUGUGGGGUGCUCGAGUGGCGAACGGGUGAGUAACACGUGAGUAACCUGCCCUUGACUUUGGGAUAACUUCAGGAAACUGGGGCUAAUACCGGAUAGGAGCUCCUGCUGCAUGGUGGGGGUUGGAAAGUUUCGGCGGAUGGGGAUGGACUCGCGGCUUAUCAGCUUGUUGGUGGGGUAGUGGCUUACCAAGGCUUUGACGGGUAGCCGGCCUGAGAGGGUGACCGGCCACAGUGGGACUGAGAUACGGCCCAGACUCCUACGGGAGGCAGCAGUGGGGAAUAUUGUACAAUGGGCGGAAGCCUGAUGCAGCAACGCCGCGUGCGGGAUGACGGCCUUCGGGUUGUAAACCGCUUUCGCCUGUGACGAAGCGUGAGUGACGGUAAUGGGUAAAGAAGCACCGGCUAACUACGUG